RNAcentral lists this ribosomal RNA (349 nucleotides) under uncultured Streptococcus sp. Its description in RNAcentral is "bacterial SSU rRNA". It matches the Rfam family "Bacterial small subunit ribosomal RNA", at positions 1034 to 1382 of the family's 1533-position model. Lineage: Bacteria; Bacillati; Bacillota; Bacilli; Lactobacillales; Streptococcaceae. The record is from RNAcentral.
ACAGGUGGUGGCAUGGUUGUCGUCAGCUCGUGUCGUGAGAUGUUGGGUUAAGUCCCGCAACGAGCGCAACCCCUACUUGUUAGUUGCCAUCAUCCAGUUGGGCACUCUAGCGAGACUGCCGGUAAUAAACCGGAGGAAGGUGGGGAUGACGUCAAAUCAUCAUGCCCCUUAUGACCUGGGCUACACACGUGCUACAAUGGUUGGUACAACGAGUUGCGAGUCGGUGACGGCGAGCUAAUCUCUUAAAGCCAAUCUCAGUUCGGAUUGUAGGCUGCAACUCGCCUACAUGAAGUCGGAAUCGCUAGUAAUCGCGGAUCAGCACGCCGCGGUGAAUACGUUCCCGGGCCUU